This 548-nucleotide ribosomal RNA is filed under the name uncultured bacterium. Its description in RNAcentral is "bacterial SSU rRNA". It matches the Rfam family "Bacterial small subunit ribosomal RNA", at positions 355 to 895 of the family's 1533-position model. The record is from RNAcentral.
UAGGGAAUCUUCGGCAAUGGGGGCAACCCUGACCGAGCAACGCCGCGUGAGUGAAGAAGGUUUUCGGAUCGUAAAGCUCUGUUGUAAGUCAAGAACGAGUGUGAGAGUGGAAAGUUCACACUGUGACGGUAGCUUACCAGAAAGGGACGGCUAAUUACGUGCCAGCAGCCGCGGUAAUACGUAGGUCCCGAGCGUUGUCCGGAUUUAUUGGGCGUAAAGCGAGCGCAGGCGGUUUGAUAAGUCUGAAGUUAAAGGCUGUGGCUCAACCAUAGUUCGCUUUGGAAACUGUCAAACUUGAGUGCAGAAGGGGAGAGUGGAAUUCCAUGUGUAGCGGUGAAAUGCGUAGAUAUAUGGAGGAACACCGGUGGCGAAAGCGGCUCUCUGGUCUGUAACUGACGCUGAGGCUCGAAAGCGUGGGGAGCGAACAGGAUUAGAUACCCUGGUAGUCCACGCCGUAACGAUGAGUGCUAGGUGUUGGAUCCUUUCCGGGAUUCAGUGCCGCAGCUAACGCAUUAAGCACUCCGCCUGGGGAGUACGACCGCAAGGUU